UGCGUAGGCGGUUUGGUAAGUCUUGUGUGAAAUCUAUGGGCUCAACUCAUAGUCUGCACGAGAAACUGCCGGGCUUGAGUGUGGGAGAGGUGAGUGGAAUUUCCGGUGUAGCGGUGAAAUGCGUAGAUAUCGGAAGGAACACCUGUGGCGAAAGCAGCUCACUGGACCAUAACUGACGCUGAUGCACGAAAGCUAGGGGAGCAAACAGGAUUAGAUACCCUGGUAGUCCUAGCCCUAAACGAUGACUGCUUGGUGUGACGGGUACCCAAUCCCGCCGUGCCGUAGCUAACGCGUUAAGCAGUCCGCCUGGGGAGUACGGUCGCAAGGCUGAA
This 332-nucleotide ribosomal RNA is filed under the name uncultured bacterium. RNAcentral describes it as "bacterial SSU rRNA". It matches the Rfam family "Bacterial small subunit ribosomal RNA", at positions 568 to 898 of the family's 1533-position model. The record is from RNAcentral.